UGCAUGUCUCGUCUUGUUUACAGUUGUAUUUAUUAUAUGAAUAGGUAAUUUCUCGAAAAACUGAAAGGAUUUCUUGGUGAAUUGGUGGUAAAGUGUGCUAACUCUGUGAUUUUUGAAUCGAGAUUCAAUUCGUUUUUAUUUUACGACGCCGAUCAAUCUUGUGAUUGGUAUCAUGAAAUUAAGCCGUAUCAGACCUGUUGGCACAGAGCUGCAGAAAGGUCAGAGAGUUUUGUCAAGGCGAUCGAAAAUCUUUCGAGAGACCAAGUCAAAUCAUGCCAACCUGGAGCCUUCUCCGUCUACAGUUACAUGAAUGAAUGUGGAGUCCAUGAGGACCCAAAGGAAGAAAUUCAAGCCAGUGACGAUGCAAUUUUUCUCAAAAUCACUACCUGAUCCUUGAAUUCUUGGAAUUUGUCUAUUCUUGCACAGAGUGAAGAAUGCCUCACAGUGUGGAAUAUUUUGGAAGACCAUGUGCAAAGAAGGUACAGAUUAUUCUUAUUUUUUGGCAUGCUGAAAUAGAUAAGAACAUUUGUGAGAGGCUUUACGGGGAAAAAAAGGUUAAAA
Molecule: long non-coding RNA, 561 nt
Filed under: Bemisia tabaci
Lineage: Eukaryota; Metazoa; Arthropoda; Insecta; Hemiptera; Aleyrodidae
Description: lncRNA ENSSSA2NGG003118
Source: RNAcentral